This 2309-nucleotide ribosomal RNA is filed under the name Bifidobacterium bifidum. Its description in RNAcentral is "bacterial LSU rRNA". It matches the Rfam family "Bacterial large subunit ribosomal RNA", at positions 1 to 2193 of the family's 2925-position model. Lineage: Bacteria; Bacillati; Actinomycetota; Actinomycetes; Bifidobacteriales; Bifidobacteriaceae. The record is from RNAcentral.
GUUGCUUGCAAGGGCGUAUGGUGGAUGCCUUGGCAGACAGUACCGAUGAAGGACGUUUGAGGCUGCGAUAUGCCUCGGGGAGCCGCCAGCAGGGCUUUGAUCCGAGGAUUUCCGAAUGGGGGAACCCGCCGGCCGUCAUGGGCCGGCACCGCGUUCGCGCGGGGGGUACGCAGGGAAGUGAAACAUCUCAGUACCUGCAGGAAAGGAUGUUCCGUGAGUAGUGGCGAGCGAAAGCGGAUCAGGCCAAACCGCGCGCGUGUGACAGGCGCCAGCCGUUGCGCGCGUGGUGUUGAGGGAGCGUGUGUCCGGGUCCUGGCGGGCCCGGCCGGAGUGAUAAAACGGCGUGUGAGGCGAACCGGAUUGAAUGCCGGGCCGCAGAGGGUGAUGGCCCCGUAGCCGAACGCGCGUCGUCUCCGGAUCGUGUCUCCCAAGUAGCGCGGGACUCGUGGAAUCCCGUGUGAAUCCGCCCCGACCGUGGGGUAAGCCUAGAUAUACCUGUCUGACCGAUAGCGAACUAGUACCGUGAGGGAAAGGUGAAAAGCACCCCGGGAGGGGAGUGAAACAGUCUCUGAAACCGUGCGCUUACAAACCGUCGGAGCCUUUCGGGGUGACGGCGUGCCUAUCGAAAAAUGAGUCUGCGAGUCAGUGGCACGUGGCGAGCGUAACCCGUGUGGGGUACGCGUAGCGAAGGCGAGUCUCAAAAGGCGUUUGAGUCGCGUGUCCUGGACCCGAAGCGGGAUGAUCUAGCCCUGAGCAGGUUGAAGCGCGGGUAAGACCGCGUGGAGGACCGAACCCACCUGGGUUGAAAACCGGGGGGAUGACUUGGGGUUAGGGGUGAAAGGCCAAUCAAAUUCCGUGAUAGCUGGUUCUCUCCGAAAUGCAUUUAGGUGCAGCGUCGGGGAUUACGUCCGGGGGGUAGAGCUACUGGAUGCUUGAGGGCCCGUAUCGGGUACCGACAGCAGCCAAACUCCGAAUACCCGUGACGCGUAUCCCGGCAGUGAGUCGGCGGGGGAUAAGCUCCGUCGUCGAAAGGGAGACAGCCCAGAUCGUCGUCUAAGGUCCCCAAGCGCGUGCUAAGUGGGAAAGGAUGUGGAGUCGCAUAGACAGCCAGGAGGUUGGCUCAGAAGCAGCCACCCUUGAAAGAGUGCGUAACAGCUCACUGGUCUAGUGGUUCCGCGCCGACAAUGUAGCGGGGCUCAAGCACGCCACCGAAGACGCGGCAGCGUCCGUCUGGACGCUGGGUAGGAGAGCGUCCCCAUCGGGGCGAAGCGGCGGCGCAAGCCUGCCGUGGACCGUUGGGGAGUGAGAAUGCAGACAUGAGUAGCGAGAGGCGGGUGCGAAUCCCGCCCGCUGGAUGACCAAGGGUUCCGGGGCCACGUUCGUCGUCCCCGGGUGAGUCGGGUCCUAAGGCGAGGCCGACAGGCGUAGUCGAAUGGAUGAACGGGCUGAUAUUCCCGUACCGGCAGCGAACCGAAACAACCGAGGCCUGGGGCGCUAACCUCCGGGUCCGUGCCGUCUCCCCUUUCGGGGGGUCGCGGCGCGGGCGCGUUGGGAUCCCCCCUCGUAGUAGGUCAGCGCAGGAGUGACGCAUCAGGGCAGCCGGCCGCGGAGGUGGUUUUCCGUGGUCAAGCGUUCGAGCCCGUCCCGCAGGCAAAUCCGCGGGGCGUCGGGGCGAGGCGUGAUGAUGGGGGCCUUACGGCCCGAAUCCGGUGAUCCGUGGUGCCGAGAAAAGCUUCGGCGUCAGGCGCGUUGCCGCCCGUACCCCAAACCGACACUGGUGGUCAGGUAGAGAAUACCAAAGCGAUCGAGCGAAUCCUGGUCAAGGAACUCGGCAAAUUGCUCCCGUGCCUUCGGCAUAAGGGAGACCCCCUGCGGUGAUGAGCGGCGGGGGGUGGCACAGGCCAGGGGGUAGCGACUGUUUACCAAAAACACAGGAGCGUGCGAAGGCGCAAGCCGCUGUAUACGCUCUGACGCCUGCCCGGUGCCGGAAGGUUAAGAGGAUCCGUCAGCUUUCUGCGAAGCGGUGAAUUCAAGCCCCGGUAAACGGCGGUGGUAACUAUAACCAUCCUAAGGUAGCGAAAUUCCUUGUCGGGUAAGUUCCGACCUGCACGAAUGGCGUAACGACUUCCCCACUGUCUCGACCAGGAGCUCGGCGAAAUUGCAGUACGAGUAAAGAUGCUCGUUAAGCGCAGAAGGACGAAAAGACCCCGGGACCUUUACUAUACCUUGGUAUUGGCAUUAGGCGCGGAUUGUGUAGCAUAGGCGGGAGGCUUCGAGGCGGGUGCGCCAGCAUCCGCGGAGCCGCAAGG